UUUUAUUCACAAAUAAGUAUUAUAAAGCUGAAUAUUAAAAACAAUAGUUCUAAACUCAAAAAAUUUGGCGGUACUUUAAUAAGUCAGGGGAACUUGCAUAUUAAAUUGAUAACCCACGACACCCUUACCUUUAUUUGAAACUCAGUUAGUGUAUUGCCGUAUUAAUAUAAAUUCAUAAUUAUAUAUGUAUAAAAUAAAUUAAUUUAAAAUAACAGGUCAAAAUUCAGCCUACAUAAAGGGGUUUUGUGAGUUACAAUAUUAACAUAUAUGUGAAUUAAUUAAUUUAAAUUAUUAUGAAAUUGGACUUGAUAGUAAUCAUGUAUAGUGAUGAAUUAAAACUUAAAGUGUGU
This 350-nucleotide ribosomal RNA is filed under the name Trulliobdella capitis. RNAcentral's name for it is "partial 12S ribosomal RNA". Lineage: Eukaryota; Metazoa; Annelida; Clitellata; Hirudinida; Piscicolidae. The record is from RNAcentral.